CUGCUAUUGGUCAGGCUCGGCAAUAGGCACAUCCUAUACACCUGGUGAUGCGCGCUCAGCCCCGCAUCCCGGGCCGGAGUCGGGGCACAUAAGCCGGGAGCGGGGAUCAGUCAGGCCUCUUCCCGGCGCCAGCCCCGGGCUGGGAGCUCAGGCGAGCGCGAUGCCAGCCUUAGGAUCCCAGAAUGACAGAAGCGACUACAAACACUCGGGAAGAGCAAGCACAAGGAGAGGAACGAGCGAGAGAAAAGAGUUUUGCUGAAGCAUCAUUACUAUGAUGGCACGUUACCUGCUGGCGCUGCAGGACAUGCAGGACAGCUUGCACACCAGAAUUCAAACUCCAGUCCAUCACCUCUGACAGUUUUGAAUCCCUGUGCCAGAAACCCUUGGAAGACAGCAUGAGAAAGAGGAUUAACUGCAUAGGUCCUUAUGUUCUUGGUGGCUGUCUCUUCCAAAGUGCCGUUGGAAAAGCACAUAGCUGUCGCUCACAGUAAAAUGGUUUGGGUGUUUGGUGUUUCAGGAAGAAGGUAACUCAAUACAUUAUAUGGGGGGAGAGGGGGCUCUGUGCUGUCAAUAUUGACCAAGAACCACCUUGAUGAUGCCCUCGUGCUAAGGAGUUGUGAGCUAUCUCAUAACAACACUUUGUUGGCAUCUGUACUGAACUCCUGUGUGAGGGAGUGCAGAGCAUGCAGGCAAGAGAGAAGCCCAAGCUCCACAGAAGAGACAAAAUAUCAAAAGCAGUGAAGAAAUUAUAGUAAAGCAAUUUACAUUGGGAUGUUCACUGUUUUGCACGUAUCCUUUUCCAGUAGCUGAAAAGCAGUUUUGCCCUUCCGUCUCAAUACAGCAGUGGUCCCAAAGAUGCCUUUCUCAAACCCCAAAAGUGCCCACAGCAUUAAAAAUCUGCACAAUUAACUGCUGAUUAAUGGAGCUAGAAGUGACCCAUUUUGACAAAGGGGAUCAGAGAGGGUGCCAGAGAAACUGGAGGUGACAGCCAGUGCCCCAGCUCUUUCAUUCCAGAAAAUUGCAGGAACAAAUAGUUCCAGCAUGGUUAUCCUCACAAAGAGAAGUGGGGAGCAGUGGUGAGAGCUGCAUGGUGAGGAGGAAAGACAUUUCAAUUCUCUCUUCCCUUUUCUCAUCUCAACUCACUAACACCAUAUGUAACAGGUUUAGGUUUUGUUUAAAUUGUGGGACUGUGAAAAAUUCCUGACUGUAAAGCUGUAACAAUAAGAAGUACUUGUGAUAUUUUGAAAAUAUUUUUUUUUUAGCUAAAAAAAAAGAUAUAUGCAGAAAAGUUUGUACUAGAACAGCAAAUUAAAACUUUUUCAGUAUAGAGUCAGGAUUUUUAUUUUCCUAAUGUAAUAAAAGAUGUGACAAAA
Lonchura striata (white-rumped munia) is the source of this 1373-nucleotide non-coding RNA. The record is from RefSeq and is a predicted model, not a curated record. Lineage: Eukaryota; Metazoa; Chordata; Aves; Passeriformes; Estrildidae.